GUCAGUAGAGGGGGCGUGAGAAAGGAUUACAUAAAGUAAAUCCCAUGUAUAUUUGAGUUUAGGGCCACACCACAUCUGUGAGGUUUAGCAAUGGAUUGUGUGAUUCAGUAGCUAAAGAAAAAUCACUGCAGUUAUGUGAGAAGCUAAAAGAGAAAUGAAAACCAAUCAUCCUUAAUUUUAGACUCAUGACUACUUUUGCUUCA
Etheostoma spectabile (orangethroat darter) is the source of this 203-nucleotide long non-coding RNA. RefSeq lists it as uncharacterized. The transcript has 2 exons. The record is from RefSeq and is a predicted model, not a curated record. Lineage: Eukaryota; Metazoa; Chordata; Actinopteri; Perciformes; Percidae.